UACAGAGGGGGCAAGCGUUGUUCGGAAUUACUGGGCGUAAAGGGCGCGUAGGCGGCCUGUUAAGUCGGACGUGAAAUCCCUCGGCUCAACCGGGGAACUGCGUCUGAUACUGGCGGGCUUGAAUUCGGGAGAGGGAUGUGGAAUUCCAGGUGUAGCGGUGAAAUGCGUAGAUAUCAGGAGGAACACCAAUGGCGAAGGCAGAUCUCUGGGCCGUAACUGACGCUGAGGAGCGAAAGCAUGGGGAGCGAACAGG
This 253-nucleotide ribosomal RNA is filed under the name uncultured bacterium. RNAcentral describes it as "partial 16S ribosomal RNA". It matches the Rfam family "Bacterial small subunit ribosomal RNA", at positions 524 to 776 of the family's 1533-position model. The record is from RNAcentral.